CCUGGUUUGGCUCAGUGGAUAGAGCGUCAGCUUUCGGACUGAAGGGUCCCGGGUUCGAUUCCGAUUCAGGG
This 71-nucleotide transfer RNA is filed under the name Myotis davidii. It matches the Rfam family "tRNA". Rfam says of the family: Transfer RNA (tRNA) molecules are approximately 80 nucleotides in length. Their secondary structure includes four short double-helical elements and three loops (D, anti-codon, and T loops). The record is from Rfam by way of RNAcentral. Lineage: Eukaryota; Metazoa; Chordata; Mammalia; Chiroptera; Vespertilionidae.